Molecule: ribosomal RNA, 492 nt
Filed under: uncultured bacterium
Lineage: Bacteria
Description: bacterial SSU rRNA
Rfam family: Bacterial small subunit ribosomal RNA
Source: RNAcentral
AAAUGAAUUGACGGGGGCCCGCACAAGCAGUGGAGUAUGUGGUUUAAUUCGACGCAACGCGAAGAACCUUACCAGGGCUUGACAUCCCGCGCAUACCUAAGAGAUUAGGGAAAUCCUUUUAGGACGCGGAGACAGGUGGUGCAUGGUUGUCGUCAGCUCGUGUCGUGAGAUGUUGGGUUAAGUCCCGCAACGAGCGCAACCCCUGUUGUUAGUUGCCAUCAUUAAGUUGGGCACUCUAGCGAGACUGCCGGUGACAAAUCGGAGGAAGGUGGGGACGACGUCAAAUCAUCAUGCCCCUUAUGUCCUGGGCUACACACGUACUACAAUGGCUAUUACAGAGGGAAGCAAACCCGCAAGGGGGAGUAAAUCCCUAAAAAUAGUCCCAGUUCGGAUUGUGGGCUGCAACUCGCCCACAUGAAGUCGGAAUUGCUAGUAAUUGCAGGUCAGCAUACUGCAGUGAAUACGUACCCGGGCCUUGUACACACCGCCCGU